CACCCCUCAAGCUCUGCUUGGUAUUGGGUGCCACCUCAGGGUGCACCUCAAAAUCAGUGGCGGUGCCGUCUGGCUUCAAGCGUAGUAAUACUUCUCGCUUCGGGGCCCAGGCGCGUGCUCGCCAUAACCACAAUUUUUAUCAA
Molecule: unclassified non-coding RNA, 143 nt
Filed under: uncultured Ascomycota
Lineage: Eukaryota; Fungi; Ascomycota
Description: sequence contains ITS2
Source: RNAcentral